This is a long non-coding RNA of Spinacia oleracea (spinach), 1511 nucleotides long. RefSeq lists it as uncharacterized. The transcript has 6 exons. Lineage: Eukaryota; Viridiplantae; Streptophyta; Magnoliopsida; Caryophyllales; Amaranthaceae. The record is from RefSeq and is a predicted model, not a curated record.
CCUGCACUCCUACUGCAGUUUGCCCAGAUCGUGAAGUUGACCUGCUCCCUCAAAGAAAAAAGCCCUCACUUUAAUUACCUCCUUCCAUCUUCUUCUUACUCUCGUUGUUCUUCUCGCUUGCCGCUUCUUCUGCUGCUUCUCUUCACUGAACGCACCGCCACCUACGCCGCCUCCAUCAACCACCGUACCUCUGUAAUUCUGUAUUGCUCUUCUCUUCUAUUCUCUUGGUUGCAGACUUUGGACUAGCAGAGUUUUCUUUAGAUACAGGUACUCAUUUGUCAACUCGAGUUAUGGGAAGUUUUGGUAAGACUAGUACUUAAACCGUGGUUAAUUUGUUGGUAAGUAAGUACAUCAGUAGCUACCAAUUUUAUUUAGGUAAUUUUCAGUUACCUAGCUCCAGAGUAUGCUGCAUGUGGGAAACUUACUGAAAAAUCAAAUGUCUUUUCCUUUUGGGGUUGUGCUUCUACAACUGAUUAAAGGACGCAAACCUGUUGAUAGAGCUCGCCCUUCAUGGAAUAUAGCAUUGUAGAAUAGGCUAGCCCUUCGCUAACACAGGCUCUAGAAGGUGGAAGAUUUAGUGAUAUUGUUGAUCCAAGAUUAAAAGACUAUAAUCUCUUUGAGAUGGCUCAAGUGAUUUCUUGUGCAGCUGCAAGUGUUCUCGUCUUUGCAAGGCAACUGCCUCAAAUGACUCAGGUAGUACAAGCUCUUCCAGGGAACUUAUCAGCUAAGGAUCCUGUUGUUCUGUAUGAUAUGACCAGCUGCUUAAUCAAGCAAAACAUUUUUGUAUGAAGAGGAACAACACAUAUUAAUUGGGAAUCAAAGUUGAAAAUUAGUGCGCGCCAAUGUAAGAUCAGACUAAUGUGUUUGAUCAGUACUCAUUAGUCUCGGUGAACAUUAAACUAGUCCCGCUAAUGCAAAUUAUGGGAACGAUACUCAUUAGUCUUGAUCAAGUUAUGCGAACUUAUAGUUACUUGGCUCCAGAGUAUGCUGCAAGCGGGAAACCUACUGAAACAUCAGAUGUCAUUUCCUUUGGGGUUGUGCUUCUGCAAUUGAUUACAGGAAGUAGACCUGUUGAUAGAGCUCGCCCCUUCGUGGAUGAUAGAAUUGUAGAAUGGGCCAGACCUUUGCUAACACAAGCUCUAGAAGCUGGAAGAUUCAGUGAUAUUGUCGACCAAGAUUAGAAGACUAUAAUCUCUUUGAUGGCUCAAAUGAUUGCUUGUGCAGCUGUAUGUGUUUGCGUCUCUGCAAGGAAACAACCUCAAAUGAGUCAGGCACUGUGAUGUACUAGGCUUAGGCACAAAUUUGCCUCAAGAGUAGAUAAUGUCAGAAAAUAAAGUUUUGAUCAAAUUUUAUGUCAUCCAACAGGUGAUUUAUGACUUCAUUUAAAUUUUAGAAUUUUGUAUUUAUGUACGGAGAAGAUUAUAGGAUGAAACAUUAAGUACCUUUUAACGUUAACUUUUUUGUAAUAUAUUUUUGCGAUUAAUGAAAGAUUUGGAUUUUUUUUAUUAUAA